This is a long non-coding RNA of Daucus carota subsp. sativus, 255 nucleotides long. RefSeq lists it as uncharacterized. The record is from RefSeq and is a predicted model, not a curated record. Lineage: Eukaryota; Viridiplantae; Streptophyta; Magnoliopsida; Apiales; Apiaceae. The transcript is spliced from 3 exons.
UAAGCCGAAACAUGACCCACCAAAGAUUCUUCUUGGUAAUAAAAAAACAUCGCAAGCUAGAUUGAGGGGCUGCUCUCAUUUCUUACACUGUCAGCUUAUUGUUCUUUUUCAAGAUAUCCCAACCCUAGAAAUCAGCAACCAUGUCAUCCAAGCAAGGUGGAAAAGCUAAGCCUUUGAAAGCACCCAAGGCUGAGAAGAAGGAAUAUGAUGAGGAUGAUUUGGCUAAGCUCCAGAAGAAGAAGGAAGAGGAAAAGG